UGAUCUAUGAAGUUCCCAUGGCAAAGGAGCCCCUCCGACAGCUUUUACUGCUGUCCAGGUUGAGCGCCAUAGCAACCUGUCUUCCUGUCUUCCAGGCCUCAUGGAUGUUCUGUGCUGACGGCGCGGCCCUACACUUUAAUCUCAUGCCCCACCAGUUUUAAAGAAUGAUUUCUGAAUUCAUUCUGUUUGAGAGUUUGAGGAAGGCCUCACCCCGAAGUCUAGGCUGGCUUCAAACAUGAGACACACACACAUAACGUCUACAAAACAGAAGGCAACCUAAUUGAUAAUAGUGAAAUCAGCAAUAGAACUUGAUACUACCCCAUCAUCAGCAAUAGAACUUGAUCAGCUAAUAUCUCCAAGGUCCUACCACCCUUGUGGUGAAGUUUCCCGUUAGUGAGGAUGUGAUUUUACAUUUCUGAUGACCUUCUGGGUAAUUUCAGGUUUGGUGGACGCGGACUGCAUCUUGUCAGACCCAAUUAGACCAUUGGCAUUUACUAUGUUGUUGGUGAUGAACUCAGAUGUGAAAUUUUUCUUUCCUUUCUGCUCCCAAGUGCUCAUUUAGAUUAGCCUCCUUGUAAGCCGCUUGCCCAUUUUGAGAAAGCUAGUUUAGUUAGAUUCAUUCCUAAGGCAGCAUUUGAACAUAGUUCUGAGCUCUUGAGGUGUGUCAAGGUAGAACUGAGACAGUUGGCCUCAGGAAACCAUACAUAGCUGUACAUAGAUUGCUGAGGGCAGAUGAAGGGGUAUGGCUCUGAGGGGUCACCCUAUCUGCCCAUGAGACCUAGUGAUGGACAGUCCAACUGAAGACAAGUGUGUCAGCCCACGUGUUAGUUGGUGGCAAUUUAACUUAAUGUGAUUUGUUUCUUAGAGGCAACCAAGUGUAAUGGAUUGGGUUCCCACACUCAUCUCCCUCUCCAGAGUGACCAUAACCAUCUAAAGCUCAAGGCUGUACCUUCUUCAUUGAGUGAUUCUCAGCCCCAGUGCCCAUCUUGUCAUUGUGCACAGCAGAAGUUAAACCUUCCUUUAAAACACAGGGAGCAUGAGUUUUCACCUGAGAGACAAGAAUGUUAAAGAUGUUCUAGUCAGACUCCCCUGUGAGCAGAGAGCAGGGUAUGUGUGGCAAACAGCCCUGGCAGGCAGGAGUUGGCUGUUUCCUCUCAUCCAGGUGGGCAGCACAGGAGGGUUGUGCUAGUUGUGCAGGGAAUAGAAGUGUCUCUGCACAGUGACCGAGCCUGUGGGUUUUCAUAAAUCACAGGAUUCUAGCUGGACUCCUUGGGUCUGGGAUGAGAAAGGAGGUAUGAAGUUUCAGCUUUCCUUUGGGGCCACACUGCUGGUAAUGAGCUUUGAGGAAGCAGCAUUUGUUUAACAUCUGGCUCCAUAGCAGGUAUGGAAACCAGAAGUGGUGUAUCAGCUUCUCAGUGGUCCUUAGGAACCAGCUGCAACCUCCAUUCCCGGAGGCUCCCUCUCAGCAGGUGGAGGGGGGAGAAAGCAAUGAGGCUUUUACGUAUGUCCACAGGAGGGUUGGCCUUUCCAUUCCCUCAUGUUUAUGGAGACUACAGAGUUAUCCUGUCUAUCAGGAACGUCUGCUUACCAUAAACAUGUGAGCCAAGCUUAAAUCAACUCUCCAGCUUAACGUUAUAAAAUAAAAUAUGUAACAAUAAUUACAUGGAAACAAGAGCCUUGGUUGAACCUACUGCCUUAUGUCUGUGAGCCUUUUAACUCUUUUAAAUAAACCUUUUGGCUUCAACUUUCCUAUUGCACAGCACUGAAAAAAUGCCUGGCUGACUCUUUAAAGAUAGAAGAGCCUUCUUCACCUUCUUGGCCAUGUGCUAUUGUUGCUCAGCUUUCUUGGGACAAAGAGGUCAUUGAUUUUGCUUAUGUUCAUCCCUCAGGACAGGGUUUAGUCAUUAAAGGUAAAUUAUUGUAGACUGGAAGAUUGAAAGCAAUGUCACACACAAAAAAGGUCCCUUACCUUUUACAGGACAGUGACUGCCCCUGUGGACGCUGCCCCAGGAGUAUGUAUAGUUAGCAUGUCCCCUCUCUUCAUUCAUUGUUGCAACCUAGAAAGGCUGUUUGUACCCAAGAAAUAAUAGUUCUAUGAGAACAUACACUCAAAUAUUAUUUAGAGUUAAAACGAAGAAUUGUUACAAGGUCCUGCCACAGCACGAGUGGACCUUGACUUAACAUGCCAAGUGAAAGAAGCCGGAGGUGCAAGGACUCAGCCUGCAGGAUUCCACUGGUGGGUCUGUGGCAGGCCCAGUUGUCCAUUUGGAAGUAGAAUAGAAGUCAGGGAGAGGUGGGGAGAAUGAGGAGGGAGUGUUCAGUAUAGUCUCAUAUGCUCAAAAUGCAGGAGACCCAGAGCUCUGUCUUCUCACUGUGAAGACUGAGCACUGCAGAGCUCACUUACAAACGGCAAAGGUGGUCAGUUUCAUCACAUUCCUUAGCACCGUGAAUGCAUAGGCACAGCAGAGCAAAGAGGUCCCCACCCGUGGCAGUGGUUUGGUAGCUCAGAAGCUAAACGACCCUGUGACUCAGCAGACCCACCCCUAGGCGUUCACCGCUGAGGAUUCAAAACAAAGGAACCAACUAAAAGCCCAUCUGUUGAUGUUUACAACACCAUUGUUGAUAAGAGCUAGUGGUGACACUGUGCCAAGUGUCUAUCUUGAUGAACAGGAAGAGCGUGCUCCGUCCAUAUGGUUCAAUAUCACCUAACCAAGAGAAUGACUGAAGGCUGAGUCUCGUUACGGUAGGUGAACUUGAAAACUGUUUUGCCAAUAAGGGAAGCAGGCACCAGCAGCUAUGGCUCUGGUAUCAUUUGUGGGAAAUCUGUACACAGAAAGUAGCUCACUGGCCACUGACGUCUGUGAGAAGAGAAGCCAUACAGAACUGUGGCUUACUGGCUAUGGGUUCUCUUGAAGAUGGUGAGGUGUUCUAGAAUUAGGUAGUGGCAAUGGCCCCAAAGAAAAUGAAUUCAGGUGUCGCACUGUACAACUCUUAGGAGGCUGAAAUGAUGAUGGUUAUUCCCUAUGCCUGUUACCUCAGAAAGGGGGAGGGAGCCCGGGCUGUAGACCAACCAGCAUCUGUGUCUUAGCUGGGAACCUGUACGUUCAAGUGCUGAAAGGACUUUCUACAUGACUAUGACUACAAUCCCAGGGGGACCUGGACUGUUCAGAGAAGGGGAAAGACAGAUGCGUGGACAUGGUGGUCUCAUUGAGGAAGGGCAGGGCAGCCGAGCCGCACCACUGAAGCCCUGAACUCAUACACUUGUUUCCUUGGGCUCUCAGAGGGCUGGCCCUCUGCCAUCACAUAGAUGGGCCACAUCCACAGGAAUGGUACUCAGAAGAGGAAGCAGCCAUCUCGUGUCUGCUUUUAAGAGCAAGAAGGUGCUAUGCUAGAAGCCCCCUUGCAAAGCCAUUUGUCAGGACUUAGUCACAUGACUGUGCCUCAGAUCCUUUUAGACCUAUCAUACUCAGCAGAAUGAAUGUUUGGCAUAGGGCCGCAUCUUAAAGAGUAGUCAUUAUAGGCACCCUUGACACUAAUCAGAUACCACUGGUUAAGUUUGCUAGAAUAUUGCUGCCCCAAGUCUUCUAGUGGAUAUGCAUGGGACAGAGAUCUGACAACCCACCAGCUGUCAACAGCAGCUUUCAGCUGUCCCCACGGUGCACACAGCACUGCUGGGUGCCAGGUACUUCCCUGUGCAGGGCCUGCUAGUGAGCUUGCAUCCCCUUUGGAGACUGUAAGCUUAGAAAAUUAAAGUUAUGUUAUCACCAGAAUGAAAUUUCACAGUAGAGGGCAUCUAGGGUUCUCUAGCUCC
Molecule: long non-coding RNA, 3811 nt
Filed under: Mus musculus (house mouse)
Lineage: Eukaryota; Metazoa; Chordata; Mammalia; Rodentia; Muridae
Description: long non-coding RNA chr15:31240880-31244691
Source: RNAcentral